GCUUCAAUGAAUUGGAUAUUUCAUACAAGUAUUAGAGGUCUGGAUCCAAUUUUUUCAAUUCGUCUCCCAUGAUCCGUUGGCAUUCAAAUUAUGGCUUCAUCUUCCAUUUCAAUGAAAAAAGUUUAAGUGGAUUCGCCCAAAAUUAAAUGCCAAACUUAGUUUUAGCGGUUAGGACCUAGCUGUGUUGCAUUCCGAAUUGCACUUGUUUAUUUGUUUUUUUUCUUUUCUUUUUAGAAUGGCAAAAUAUAUGACUCUCCAUGUCUGUGGCAUCAAGCUCACAACUGUAGGCAUUAUUAAGUAUAGGAGAAAUCAUAGAAAUUUAAAAGAACUUCAAUUUUUCAACAGGUGGAAGUGGAACCACACAACUGUAGACAUUAUUAAGUGCACAUAUUUUGUAGUUUAUCUUGCAUUUUCCAAAACCCCAAGCCUCCUACUGCUACUGGACCUUGAUAACAGCAAGUUGAAUAUCAGAAAGGAAUGUGUUUCAGACUUCAAGUAGAUGCAUAUAUUUUUUGAGCUUAGCGUAGUCUUCUGGCAACUCUGCUAUUGCAGAGUGUUGAAGAAGCUGAAUGUUAGAGUGCAUAUGAGUCUGUGACCGAUGUUUAUAUGGCUUCUUUUGACCGCAUAAAGCAUCCUGAGGAGGUAAGUAUAGUUUAUGUUAGUGUAGAAAAUUUUUACAACUUGGUUGUCAUCUGUUGUUCACUAAAGUUCUAUGCUGUAGGGUGUUCUAAGAGAGGAACACAGAGGAACAGUACAAAAAACACUUGCUGCAUUUAAUGCCAGUGCUGUUAGAGUUGGCUCAGCACAAAAAAGUAUGAAAAGCUUAUUCAGCAAUUUUUCAAAAAGGCAUUUGAGGUCUUCUAGAAAAUUACAAAUUGUCAGCUGAAAGAAUGUAUUGCUUUACCCAUAUAAUUCCAAGUAGAUCAAGGACUCUCUUCCAAAUUCCUGCAGAAUCCACAAUGGGUGAAUAGAUGCUUAAUUGAUUCCUACGCCACACAGAAGAGGCACUCAUUUGUGAUCAUUGUCUUCCUUUCUGGAGUAGGUUGAUAUUAAGCAGUUUCCUUUUUGCAGCUACCAGCCUAAAACACCAAUUUUGGCUUUCCUGGAAAUUGCCAAAUAUGUCCCACUCGGUUAGCGGUGCCUCCUCUUCCACUUUGUUUCAAAUACAUGAUAAAAAGACUAGACCAAGAAAGAUCUAUUUCAAAGAAAAUUCCAAUGCCACUUGUCACUCUGCCCCAUGCACAAAGAGCGAAGUUGUAACUUCUCCUGAAGGCUAACAAAAUCUGCUAUUUCCUUUUCUGAUGUACUUUAAAAGAAAUAUAAUAUAUUAAUGUGGCCAAAAACCAGAUUCACAAAAGUGAUGUUAUUUCUCUCAAUAUUUGAUGUUAAGUGGUUAUACUCCAAGCUUUUGUAUAUUGUACAUUUGUUGUAAUUCUCCGAGAGAGGGAUCUGGUGAUUCAUUAUUAUUGGUUAGAUGAUUCUUGACUGAAA
Magnolia sinica is the source of this 1491-nucleotide RNA transcript. RefSeq lists it as uncharacterized. The transcript is spliced from 2 exons. The record is from RefSeq and is a predicted model, not a curated record. NCBI's taxonomy places the organism in Eukaryota, Viridiplantae, Streptophyta, Magnoliopsida, Magnoliales, Magnoliaceae.